AUUGAACGCUGGCGGCAUGCCUUACACAUGCAAGUCGAACGGCAGCACGGGGCAACCUGGUGGCGAGUGGCGAACGGGUGAGUAAUGUAUCGGAACGUGCCAUUGAGUGGGGGAUAACGUAGCGAAAGUUACGCUAAUACCGCAUAUACCCUGAGGGGGAAAGCAGGGGAUCGCAAGACCUUGUGCUCUUUGAGCGGCCGAUAUCAGAUUAGCUAGUUGGUGAGGUAAAGGCUCACCAAGGCGACGAUCUGUAGCGGGUCUGAGAGGAUGAUUCGCCACACUGGGACUGAGACACGGCCCAGACUCCUACGGUAGGCAGCAGUGGGGAAUUUUGGACAAUGGGCGCAAGCCUGAUCCAGCCAUGCCGCGUGAGUGAAGAAGGCCUUCGGGUUGUAAAGCUCUUUCGGCCGGGAAGAAAUCGUACAGGUUAAUACCCUGUGUGGAUGACGGUACCGGAAUAAGAAGCACCGGCUAACUACGUGCCAGCCGCCGCAGUAA
Molecule: ribosomal RNA, 498 nt
Filed under: uncultured bacterium
Lineage: Bacteria
Description: partial 16S ribosomal RNA
Rfam family: Bacterial small subunit ribosomal RNA
Source: RNAcentral